Molecule: transfer RNA, 69 nt
Filed under: Phenacobius mirabilis
Lineage: Eukaryota; Metazoa; Chordata; Actinopteri; Cypriniformes; Leuciscidae
Description: tRNA-Phe
Rfam family: tRNA
About the family: Transfer RNA (tRNA) molecules are approximately 80 nucleotides in length. Their secondary structure includes four short double-helical elements and three loops (D, anti-codon, and T loops).
Source: RNAcentral
GCUAGCGUAGCUUAAUAUAAAGCAUAACACUGAAGAUGUUAAAAUGGGCCCUAGAAAGCUCCGCACGCA